RNAcentral lists this non-coding RNA (188 nucleotides) under Dethiosulfatarculus sandiegensis. The record is from RNAcentral. Lineage: Bacteria; Pseudomonadati; Thermodesulfobacteriota; Desulfarculia; Desulfarculales; Desulfarculaceae.
GACAACAUAAUUUCGGUGGAUGCCCCAAGGGCUUAAUAGGGAAGUCGGUGAAAAUCCGACGUGGUCCCGCCGCUGUAAUCGGUAGCGAAAACCGCAGCAUAGCCACUGUCUCCCCAAAGGGCGGCGGGAAGGCGCGGCAACUAGGACGAACCGAAAGCCAGAAGACCUGUCCAACGAGAAAUUCCGAU